GCUUCUGUGGUGUAAUGGUUAGCACAUUUGACUCUAAAUCCAAGGAUCCCAGUUCAGGUCUCGGCAGAACCU
Non-coding RNA from Paramuricea clavata, 72 nucleotides. The record is from the annotation of a GenBank genome assembly. Lineage: Eukaryota; Metazoa; Cnidaria; Anthozoa; Malacalcyonacea; Plexauridae.